UACGAAGGGGGCUAGCGUUGCUCGGAAUCACUGGGCGUAAAGGGUGCGUAGGCGGGUCUUUUAAGUCAGGGGUGAAAUCCUGGAGCUCAACUCCAGAACUGCCUUUGAUACUGAAGAUCUUGAGUUCGGGAGAGGUGAGUGGAACUGCGAGUGUAGCGGUGGAAUGCGCAGAUAUCAGGAGGAACACCAAUAGCGAAGGCAGCUCGCUGGGACGUUUACUGACACUGAGGCGCGAAAGCGUGGGGGAGCGAACAGG
RNAcentral lists this ribosomal RNA (256 nucleotides) under uncultured bacterium. RNAcentral describes it as "partial 16S ribosomal RNA". It matches the Rfam family "Bacterial small subunit ribosomal RNA", at positions 524 to 776 of the family's 1533-position model. The record is from RNAcentral.